Molecule: transfer-messenger RNA, 308 nt
Filed under: Balneolaceae
Lineage: Bacteria; Pseudomonadati; Balneolota; Balneolia; Balneolales
Also listed under: 1 other name
Description: Gracilimonas sp002696035 Standard tmRNA
Rfam family: transfer-messenger RNA
About the family: Bacterial tmRNA, also known as 10Sa RNA or SsrA, is named for its dual tRNA and mRNA-like properties. Its role is to liberate the mRNA from a stalled ribosome. To accomplish this part of the tmRNA is used as a reading frame that ends in a translation stop signal.
Source: RNAcentral
GGGCGUGUAAUGGAAUCGACGAGAUUGAAAGCAUCUUGUAAGCGAUUUGACUGGCAAAGUGCCAACAAACAUAGACGGAAAGAAUAACAUCUUACCUCUUUUUGGUGGUGCGGGCGUAAAAGCUGCAGCAUAGCCAAUUGGGUGCCGACUACCUCGAAACAGAAAGUCGGGUUUUAGGUUAAGGAUGGGUUUCCCUGUUCCUACAUAAAACAGGGUGGUGGAGGAUGCCAAACAUCCCCAGAUGAUCGUAACAACUUACAAGAUAGGCACAUUUUCGGACGCGGGUUCGACUCCCGCCACGUCCACUA